CCCUUAGAUGUUCUGGGCCGCACGCGCGCUACACUGACGGGAGCAACGAGUAGGACCUGCACCGGAAGGUGUGGGUAAUCUUUUGAAAUCCCGUCGUGAUCGGGAUAGAUUCUUGUAAUUUUUGAUCUUAAACGAGGAAUUCCUAGUAAACGCAAGUCAUCAGCUUGCAUUGAUUACGUCCCUGCCCUUUGUACACACCGCCCGUCGCACCUACCGAUUGAAUGGUCCGGUGAAAUCUCCGGACUGGCGUGAGUCGGAGCAAUCUGACAAACGCCGGAAAGUUGAUUAAACCUUACCAUUUAGAGGAAGGUGAAGUCGUAACA
This 323-nucleotide ribosomal RNA is filed under the name uncultured eukaryote. RNAcentral describes it as "partial 18S ribosomal RNA". It matches the Rfam family "Eukaryotic small subunit ribosomal RNA", at positions 1470 to 1796 of the family's 1831-position model. The record is from RNAcentral.